Molecule: ribosomal RNA, 447 nt
Filed under: uncultured bacterium
Lineage: Bacteria
Description: partial 16S ribosomal RNA
Rfam family: Bacterial small subunit ribosomal RNA
Source: RNAcentral
AGCGAACGCUGGCGGCAGGCUUAACACAUGCAAGUCGAACGGUCCUUCGGGAUAGUGGCGGACGGGUGAGUAACACGUGGGAACGUACCCUUAGGUUCGGAACAACACAGGGAAACUUGUGCUAAUACCGGAUGAGCCCUUCGGGGGAAAGAUUUAUCGCCUUUGGAGCGGCCCGCGUCUGAUUAGCUUGUUGGUGAGGUAAUGGCUCACCAAGGCUACGAUCAGUAGCUGGUCUGAGAGGAUGGCCAGCCACACUGGGACUGAGACACGGCCCAGACUCCUACGGGAGGCAGCAGUGGGGAAUCUUGCGCAAUGGGCGAAAGCCUGACGCAGCCGUGCCGCGUGGAUGAUGAAGGUCUUAGGAUUGUAAAAUCCUUUCACCGGGGACGAUAAUGACGGUACCCGGAGAAGAAGCCCCGGCUAACUUCGUGCCAGCAGCCGCAGUAA